GACGAACCGUGCAAACGUUGUUCGGAAUCAUUGGGCUUAAAGGGCGCGUAGGCGGGUCAGCAAGUCAGGGGUGAAAGCCCACAGCUCAACUGUGGAAGAGCCUUUGAUACUGCGGGUCUUGAGGGAGGUAGGGGCAUGCGGAACUUCCGGUGGAGCGGUGAAAUGCGUAGAUAUCGGAAGGAACACCGGUGGCGAAAGCGGCGUGCUGGACCUCUUCUGACGCUGAGGCGCGAAAGCUAGGGGAGCAAACGGG
This 253-nucleotide ribosomal RNA is filed under the name uncultured bacterium. RNAcentral describes it as "partial 16S ribosomal RNA". It matches the Rfam family "Bacterial small subunit ribosomal RNA", at positions 524 to 776 of the family's 1533-position model. The record is from RNAcentral.